This 430-nucleotide long non-coding RNA is filed under the name Sus scrofa (pig). Its description in RNAcentral is "lncRNA (ENSSSCG00070015582.1)". The record is from RNAcentral. Lineage: Eukaryota; Metazoa; Chordata; Mammalia; Artiodactyla; Suidae.
CUAGAGGGAAUGGAUUUAAGGACACACAGCAGGAGCUGGCUGAAUUUAUUUUAUUUUGACGGGGGUAGUUGGGGGAGGAAUAUCAUUUCUGAAAUGCACAAGGAAUGAAGGGAGAGGAUAUGGAUUGCUUAAACAGUUUUUGCAAGAGGAGCGGUGUCUUGUUCUGCAGGUUAGGCUUCUCAGUCCCUCUGGAGCUGCAUGAUGGAGGCAGUAAGCCAGAUAUCUAUUUCCCCUGGUGAGAGCCCCUGAUGGGUCCAGAAGAAUUUAUAAAAGAAGGCUAGGGGACAAGAACUAGGAAACAGAGAUAAGAGAUCCCAGUCAUCCUGGCUGAAGCCAUUCUAGAUCAGCCAGUACUGGCCAACCCUGCACAGGUAAGCAAACCUCACCUAGAUGAGCAAAGCACUCAGUCAACCAGCAGCUAACCUCAGAA